Molecule: transfer RNA, 64 nt
Filed under: Cavia porcellus (domestic guinea pig)
Lineage: Eukaryota; Metazoa; Chordata; Mammalia; Rodentia; Caviidae
Rfam family: tRNA
About the family: Transfer RNA (tRNA) molecules are approximately 80 nucleotides in length.
Source: Rfam by way of RNAcentral
GGGGAUUUAGCUCAGUGGCAUAAGCUCCUGCCUUGCAAGCAGAUAGUCGUGAAUUCAAUCCCUG